UCAUCUUUCAGAAUCAGGACCUUAGGGG
This 28-nucleotide non-coding RNA is filed under the name Mus musculus (house mouse). The record is from RNAcentral. Lineage: Eukaryota; Metazoa; Chordata; Mammalia; Rodentia; Muridae.